This 1866-nucleotide ribosomal RNA is filed under the name Triticum aestivum (bread wheat). RNAcentral describes it as "partial small subunit ribosomal RNA". The record is from RNAcentral. Lineage: Eukaryota; Viridiplantae; Streptophyta; Magnoliopsida; Poales; Poaceae.
AUGGCGUCCAGAGAUCUCCGGCGGCUGCUCGACGGCGCAGCCCUCGUCGCCCGCGAGGCCGCCAGGCGCUCCUCCGGGCCCGAAGUUCUCAGGUCCGCCCUCCUCGCCGCCACCGACCUCGCGGGCCUCACCAGGGGCACCCCUCGCCGCCCGCAGCCCGUUCCCCUUCCUCAUGAAUCCCACCCCGAGGGAGCAGACUCAUCUCGCCCCUCGUCUUCCUCCGUCGUGUACUUCUCCCACGACGACGCGCCGCCGGUCGAACCCUCAUUGGAGCAGCAACCUCCGCCGCGAGAAUCCCUCGACCCCGCCCAGACGCGGGAGAUCACCGGCAUCCAUUCAACCGCUGCAGCCGCAGCCGUGGCUGAACCUGAAGCCGUGGCGGUAGCUAGACCGGAAGACGAGGCAGUUCGCCCUGAGCUCUCACCGUCUUCCACGCCCACGCCCUCGCCCCCGCCCCCGCCCCCGCCCCCGCCUGCUCCUGUGCUGGUGGAGAAGAGGCGCCGGCCAAGGGAGCGGAAUGUUCCCUCCACACCGUUCACCCGAGCCCUCGGGUUUGCAGGUCUGGGUGCCGGGCUUGCAUGGGGUGGUCUACAGGAAUCAGCCCGGCGGGUGAUGUAUGGCACACCUGUUGGGGAUGGCAAGCAGUCAGCACUCUCGCCGUUCUUGUCCGACCAGAACGCUGAGCGUGUCGCCCUUGCGCUGUGUCGGAUGCGGGGAGCAGCGCUCAAGGUGGGACAGCUGCUGAGCAUCCAGGACGAAUCGCUCGUGCCCCCGCCGGUGUUGGCAGCUCUUGAUAUCGUUCGUCAAGGUGCCGAUGUUAUGCCGAGGAAGCAGCUGAAUUCUGUCCUUGAUGCCGAGCUUGGUCAAGGUUGGUCCUCUAGGCUGAGGAGUUUCGACUAUGAACCUUUGGCUGCAGCGAGUAUCGGACAGGUCCAUCGGGCGGUCUUGAAGGAUGGUUCAGACGUUGUGAUGAAAAUACAGUAUCCUGGAGUUGCUGACAGUAUAGAGAGUGAUAUUGAGAAUGUUAGGCGACUCCUGACUUACACAAAUCUCAUCCCUAAAGGCCUUUUCCUUGAUAGAGCUAUAAAGGUUGCAAAGCAAGAGCUGGCAAGGGAAUGUGAUUAUUUCUUAGAAGCAAGCAACCAGAAGCGGUACAAAGAAUUGCUCUCUGAUAGUGAGGGCUAUUACGUCCCUAAUGUCACUGACGAAUUGUCGAGCAAAAAGGUGUUGACAUCAGAGUUUGUUCCAGGAGUUCCUAUCGAUAAGGUGGCAGUACUAAGCCAGGAAACCCGCAAUUAUGUUGGAUGUAAACUUCUCGAGCUUACGAUAAAGGAGUUGUUUGUCUUCAGAUUUAUGCAGACUGAUCCAAAUUGGAGUAAUUUCCUUUAUGAUGAUUCAGAAAAGCAAUUUAAUCUUAUCGACUUUGGGGCAGCCCGUGAGUUCCCUAAAAAGUUUGUAGACGAUUACCUACGUAUGGUAGUUGCCUGUGCAAAUAGAGACAGAGCUGGUGUGUUAGAGAUGUCCCGCAGACUGGGAUUUCUCACGGGUGAGGAACCAGAGGUCAUGCUGGAUGCUCAUGUCGAGGCGGCCUUCAUCGUCGGGGUGCCAUUCGCAACACCUGGUGGUCAUGAUUUCCGCGCAAACAACAUCACACACAGCGUUUCAAACCUUGGGGCUACCAUGUUGAAGUACAGGCUGACUCCGCCUCCGGAUGAAGUUUAUAGCCUCCACAGAAAGCUGUCAGGUGCGUUCCUGGCCUGCAUCAAGAUUGGCGCAGUUGUCCCCUGCAGAGAGAUGCUGUUCAAGGUUUACGAGCAGUACGAUUUCAGUGAUGAUCACUCGGAAGUGUUGUCCAACACUGGAUAA